AGUGAACGCUGGCGGUAGGCCUAACACAUGCAGGUCGAACGGCAGCACAGUAAGAGCUUGCUCUUACGGGUGGCGAGUGGCGGACGGGUGAGGAAUACAUCGGAAUCUACUUUUUCGUGGGGGAUAACGUAGGGAAACUUACGCUAAUACCGCAUACGACCUACGGGUGAAAGCAGGGGAUCUUCGGACCUUGCGCGAUUGAAUGAGCCGAUGUCGGAUUAGCUAGUUGGCGGGGUAAAGGCCCACCAAGGCGACGAUCCGUAGCUGGUCUGAGAGGAUGAUCAGCCACACUGGAACUGAGACACGGUCCAGACUCCUACGGGAGGCAGCAGUGGGGAAUAUUGGACAAUGGGCGCAAGCCUGGUCCAGCCAUACCGCGUGGGUGAAGAAGGCCUUCGGGUUGUAAAGCCCUUUGUUGGGAAAGAAAAGCAGCAGGUUAAUACCCCGCUGUUCUGACGGUACCCAAAGAAUAAGCACCGGCUAACUUCGUG
RNAcentral lists this ribosomal RNA (491 nucleotides) under uncultured bacterium. RNAcentral's name for it is "partial 16S ribosomal RNA". It matches the Rfam family "Bacterial small subunit ribosomal RNA", at positions 29 to 507 of the family's 1533-position model. The record is from RNAcentral.